This 861-nucleotide long non-coding RNA is filed under the name Anas platyrhynchos platyrhynchos (common mallard). RNAcentral's name for it is "lncRNA (ENSAPLG00000028981.1)". Lineage: Eukaryota; Metazoa; Chordata; Aves; Anseriformes; Anatidae. The record is from RNAcentral.
GAAAAAUAAAGGAUCAAAAUGCGCUUGGUGUGUGACAUGUGCUAUGUCAUGGUACUUAACUGUGAAAUUAAUCUAUAACCUAAUCUUUCUCUCUUUAAAUUCAGAUGUUUAGCAAGAGAAGAGGAGAAACAGAUCAGGUUCAAUUAAUUACUGUCAUUCUAUGCAUCUUCCAUAAACCAUAAAGAGCGGUCAUUGUGCAGCUCACUGAGUAGUAGAGUAAAACCACAUUCUUCAGAAAUACCACUAGAGUCCUCCCAGGAGUACUACCACCCAUGAAAUCACGAAUGUAUUGCUUGAAGAAUGUACUGUGGAUUGUAUUGGGAGAGUACCUGAAGAUCUCCUGGAAAAAACAGACCUUGACUGGCAUCUCACUGAAAGUGGAUCCUAAAGACAACACAUGGUAUGCCACUGCCAAAGUACAAAUCAGGGAUGAUGGCCUGGAAGACAUCAGUUUAGAUGGGCAAAGUUUUGUGUUGACUUGUAAACAUUUGAAUGACAGUUGCAUCUUAAUUACAUACAGUAACCAAAAUGGACUGUCUGUCCAGAACCUGCAGCUGAGCGAUGCUGUAUGGAUCCUCAUACAGACGUUUUCUGCCACUUCCUAGAAGGCAGUUGAUGUGGGAUCCACUGGUGUCAGUGAGAACAGCAAGAGUAAGGAGAAGGCAGAAACUUACCUGACCAAGAAAGAGUGAGCCUACCUGGUUUCCAUCUGGGAAACAUGCCCUGCUGCAACAUUCAAUACAAAGAACAUGCUCUUCAUUGUCACCUAAAGAAGACACAAAGACUAAGCUUGAUGAUGUGUUUCUCACUUCUUUGUGAAAAAAAAAAUAAAUCAGAGUUUUACACUGAAAAUAUGUUUCA